This 357-nucleotide ribosomal RNA is filed under the name uncultured bacterium. RNAcentral's name for it is "bacterial SSU rRNA". It matches the Rfam family "Bacterial small subunit ribosomal RNA", at positions 30 to 409 of the family's 1533-position model. The record is from RNAcentral.
AUUGAACGCUGGCGGCAUGGCUAAUGCAUGCAAGUCGAACGAAAGCCCUUCGGGGCGAAAGUGGCGAAAGGGCGAGUAAUACGAUCGAACGUACCCCAAGGUGGAGGAUAGUGUCGGGAAACUGACGGUAAUACUCCAUGUGCUCUUCGGAGGAAAGCUUUGGCGCCUCGGGAGCGGCGAUCGUCCUAUCAGGUAGUUGGUGAGGUAAUGGCUCACCAAGCCGAAGACGGGUAGCGGGUGUGAGAGCAUGACCCGCCGCAUCGGGACUGAGACACUGCCCGGACUCCUACGGGAGGCUGCAGCGACGAAUCUUCCGCAAUGGGCGCAAGCCUGACGGAGCAAUGCCGCGUGUGGGAC